RNAcentral lists this long non-coding RNA (469 nucleotides) under Olea europaea subsp. europaea. The record is from RNAcentral. Lineage: Eukaryota; Viridiplantae; Streptophyta; Magnoliopsida; Lamiales; Oleaceae.
CUGUACGCUUUCGAGAGUUGGAACCAGCCAUCAAAAUGGUAAAAAAUAUCGUUUAGUACAUAAAUUACAACUGAUUUUUGCUCUGUAAGGUCAAUCCAUACCGUCUUGUACAUAAAAAUAGGGUACUAAUAAAUCUGAAAAUUAAAAACUACCAUGCAUCCCAACGACACUAAUGCCCAAACAGCUAAACAGGCAAAGGCAAGCAAGAGUUGCCAACAGAGGACGAUAACAGUGCUCGACUGAGCCCAACAGAAUAAAAAUGUUUCAUAGACGAAAAUAACUUCUUUAACAUGAUCUCUUGGAGCAAGCCAAAUUCAUUUGCGAGCUUCCAACUUCUUCUGCUCUUUGGCUGCAGGGAGAAAUUGUGGAGUAAGGUCAAGGUGAAAAUGAAGGAAAUAAAAAUUACUUAACAGUUGGCGUGACUAAUGCAGAUAGCUACCUGCUUUCUCCUCUUCACGUUUUUUAGCAG